CAGUAGCCACGGGAAUACGAAGGGGGCUAGCGUUGUUCGGAUUUACUGGGCGUAAAGGGCGCGUAGGCGGACUGAUAAGUCAGGGGUGAAAUCCCAAGGCUCAACCUUGGAACUGCCUUUGAUACUGUUUGUCUUGAGUUCGAGAGAGGUAAGUGGAACUGCGAGUGUAGAGGUGAAAUUCGUAGAUAUUCGCAAGAACACCAGUGGCGAAGGCGGCUUACUGGCUCGAAACUGACGCUGAGGCGCGAAAGCGUGGGGAGCAAACAGGAUUAGAGACCCCCGUAGUCCCUGUCUCUUAUAC
Molecule: ribosomal RNA, 301 nt
Filed under: uncultured bacterium
Lineage: Bacteria
Description: partial 16S ribosomal RNA
Rfam family: Bacterial small subunit ribosomal RNA
Source: RNAcentral